GUAAGUGCCUGUGUACUUACCUACCAACUCCUGAGACCCCUUCAAAAGCUCAGCAUCAGGGAGUUUCUUUGUCCACAUUCUUCCUGUGGCUUUGACCCUGUGUGUUCUCUAAAACUAGACCUGUGCCCUGGUAGCAAAGGGGCAUGCAAGAGGUUGGCAUGUAAGACAGACAAUAAUGUAUCAGCAGGAACAAGACAACCUGUGCCAAACAGAGAUACACUAUGAUAGGUGGAAUCAAACCACGUUAUUCAGCAACAAAGAUUGGGGAGGUAUGCAAAGAGAAGAUCUGCACCAGGCCCCAGUUUUGAAAGUCCUAGGACCUAGAGGGACAGAUGUCUGGGUAUCCCAUGAUCCUGCAGUUUUUGGAAUUCCUUACAAUGAUCUUUGUCAUUUUGUGUGUUCUCCUUGACAUCAAACUUCUCGUACCUGUCAAGUAGCAAAAUGCUGCUAUUAAGAGCCACUGGGUUUAAAUCUUAGUUCUACCACUUACUAUGUUGGAUUGAAUUAUUGAGCCUGAAAUAUUCUAAAGGCACAUGUACAUUAUUUUUCUAGUUAUCUGCCUAAGAGUCAACCUUGAACAAAAAUAAAGAUAUCAGAUUUCUAUCUGCCUGACAGAGCACACAGGAUGUGGGCCUUGGCAUCAAAAUAAAUAUGAUGGUUUUAAAAUAGAUAGGAUCAGCUUAAGUUUAAUAGAUUUUUUUAAACAAUUGUGAAUUAUGGGCAACAUCAUGGAAUAAUUGCAGGAGUCCUGCCUGGAUAUGAGGUUUUAGUUCUGAGUUAUAGUUCUGCUGCCAGUAUCAACAAGCUGAUUAACUCUGAGAAGAUUAGUUGGCCAUUUCUGUGAUUUUAAAAGGGGAUAAUACCCAACAUCACAGUGACUGUGGAGAAUAAAUACAAUCCAAAUAAAAGUACUCUGUAAGUCAUAAAGCACUGUCUGAGUUUAAGGUAUUACAUACCCUCCACUUAAAACAUAGUACAGGAGCAGUGGUUUAAUUAAAGUAUGUGUCAUGGUUGGACAAAUCAUAAUUAAGGUCACUAUAAUUUGGGCAUUAGUCCAGGUAAAAGAUAAUCUUAUUACUGCACAAAUCUCCACAGAGCCUAGAAAUGCUCCUCAACUCAUUGAUGUUAGAAAAUAGAGCCUUUGCCUCUAAGUGCUCCUUUUCAACACAAAGCAGAGACCCUAUGAAGAAGGCACAGAUUUCUUCCCCCUGUGUUAGCAUGCACCGGGGGAAGAAAAAUGCUGAAGGCUGUGAUCAGCGGAUGACCCAAGGAGAGAGAUUCACACAAACCCAUGGAUAUUAAAGAAGGCUAGGCCGGGCGCAGUGGCUCACGCCUAUAAUCCCAGCACUUUGGGAGGCUGAGGCGGGUGGGUCACCUGAUAUUGGGAGUUCAAGAACACCCUGACCAAGAUGGAGAAACCCCAUCUCUACUAAAAAUACAAAAUUAGCUGGGUGUGGUGGCGCAUGCCUGUAAUCCCAGCUACUCGGGAGGCUGAGGCAGGAGAAUUGCUUAAACCUGGGAGGCAGAGGUUGUGGUGAGCUGAGAUGGUGCCAUUGCACUCCAGCCUGGGCAAAAAGAGCAAAACUCCGUCCCACUCCCCCCCAAAAAGAAGGCUAUAGGGACAUGUUAGAAAACCCCUGGGACAGAGGGAAAGCUGAGCCAGAAUAGCCUAGAAGCAAAUCUAAGAGAAACCCAAGUCACGCUCUUUGUAAAUACUUCAACCACAUUCAUACAUUAAGCCCAUAAACAUUUGCAGAAAUGAAGUGGCCAAACAGCAGUUGUUGACUAAGCAGGACAGCAGUUUUGUGAUCAGUAACUGAAGCCUCUCAAGAUCUGUUAGGUAACAAACCAGUCCAGUGUAAAGGUCUGUAUUUUACUUUAUCUAUCUGUAGCCUCUACUUAAUUUUGAGUUUCUUUAUACAGAAUGGAGCUAACCAAGAGGUUGAGGGAGUUGUAAACACAAGUCAGGCUGUACUAUGGCUGAAACAGCUACAUGUCUCCAUCUAGAGGAUGUAUUAAAACUGCUUCAUGGUUUCUUUGCUGGAUGGUACUGUGACAUUAACACCAUGUGUGUUAGAAGAUCAAUGUAUUAUGACAUAUUGAUCUUCACCAAGUAUUUCUGGCUCUCUGCCUUUUGAGUGCAUGGUAGUAUUGCACUUUCCUGUCCCCUUUGAAGUUAGGGUAGCCACAUGACUUGCUUUGGCUAAUGAAGAAAGAGUGGAAGGGAGAGAUGUCGCUUCUGAGCAGAAGGCUUAGGAGCAAGCGUGUGAGGAGCCACAUCCUCUUCCCACAUAGGUGGCUGUGGAGGGGCUCGGCCAGGCUGUGUCCCGAGUGCCUCUGAUGAGCAGAGGCCUCGAUGAAAGCUUGCUGGAAAUGUAAACAAGAAAUGAACUUUUGUUGUGUUUUGCCCUGAGAUAUUGUAGUUAUUUGUUACCACAUUACGAUCUAGCCCAUUCUUACUAUAUAGCUGGCCUUUAUUGUUUCAAAGGGAAUAUUUGACUUAUGCUAUGCUCAAAAAUUUAUUUCCUGAUUUGGGUAACCAAUUUUCCACAUUCUUAGCCCAGAUUCAUAUUGACAGUAAAUAUCUUUACGUCUGGAUUGCUAAAGCAUCAAAGCAUAUAGGAACAAAAAGCUUGAAAAGACACUGAAUGCUUUUAAAUAUUCUAUAAGACUGAGUAUUAAUAUAUCACCUUUAGGGUUUUUGUCAUAGCCUUUAAUCACUUGCCAAUUUACUUAACAUUUUCUUUAGAUUGACUUAUUUUAUUAAGGUUAUUUUGAGAGGAAUGUUUGUAUCACUAGUGUACAGGUUGAGUAUCCCUUAUCCAAAAUGCUUGGGACCAGAAGUAUUUAAACCUUCCGACUUUUUUGGAUUUUGGAAUAUUUGCAUUAUAUACUACAAGUUGAGAAUCCCUACUCUGACGAUCUGAAAUCUGAAAUGCUCCAAUGAGCAUUUCCUCUGAGUGUUGUGUCAGCACUGAAGAACAUGAAUUUUGGAGCAUUUUAGAUUUCAGACUAGGGAUACUCAACCAUUAUAUGUAAACUUAAAUCACUCACGUAAAAUAAAUGGUGAGUGAUUUAAGUUACAUAAAAUAAAUAACAUAUAUAGAAAAAAUUAAAUAUAAUAAAAAUAAAAUAAUACUAUUAAAUUUAAGUUAGAAACCCCUGGAAUCUCACUCAGAGGUUUUUCCUCUUUGCUAAAAGAGAGAUGUUAGGAAGUGUUGGCUAAGUCUGACAAGGUGUAAAGCCAUGUAUCAUUAAAAAUACAAGAAAUGCUAUAUGAAAUAGCAUACUCCAAAAGUUACUAAUACAUUUCCAAGCUUAAAAAAAUAAGAUUAAGUCCACAGGUGCCAGAAAUAAAGAGUUAUUAUAGAAGGCUGAUAAAAACCUAGCACACAGGGUUCUUGCACUGGACACAGGACUUAGGGUCUCACAGCAUAAGGGACCUCCUGGUGAUGGAAGAAAGGCCUAGACCUGAACUUCUAUAUAGGGCUCUGGACCUUCAGGAACUUUCCCCUUAACAAAAAGGGGAUGGAAAAAAACUCUCUCCUCUGGCCUUGGAGGUUUUGGGUAGAAAAUAAAAAGCAACCAGUAGGAGCUGGAGACACUAGCUGUGGGCCGCUCAUGUCUCAAUUUAUAUUACCUGAAUGAUGUAGAAAUGAAUCAAGAAAUUAAGAUGAAAAUUCAUCUAGGAUCACUGAACACCUAGGACCCUAGGGUUCCAAAAGAAUCAGAUGUGGGCCAGGCACGGUGGCUCACGCCUGUAAUCCCAACACUUUGGGAGGCCGAGGCAGGUGGAUCAUGAGGUCAGGAGUUCAAGACCAGCCUGGCCAAGAUGGUGAAACCCCAUCUCUACUAAAAAUACAAAAAUUAGCCGGGUGUGGUGGUGCACACCUGUAAUCCCAGCUACUUGGGAGGCUGAGGCAGAAGAAUCACCUGAACCCGGGAGGCGGAAGUUGCAGAGAGCCGAGAUUACAUCACUGAACUCCAGCCUGGGCAACAGAGCAAGACUCUGAAUCAAAAAAAAAAAAAAAAAAAAGAAAGAAAGAAAGAAUCAGAUGUGAAACCACUUGGUAGUGCUUACUUCUACAAGCAAGUUUCACUGGAAAUCCAAUUAGGUGCAAGAAAAAACUCUCUGAAAGAUGAGCUCAUAUAAAAAAACCCUAUAAACUACACUUGGGAAAAAUACUUUGAGGCAUUUCCAGGAGAUGCAAUAAAUAGAAAAAUUAGCAAUAAAAGUAAUAAAAUAAAAGAAUAGCAUGAAAGAGGCCAUAAUGAUUAAAGAAUAAUAUCUAAACCUUUGUUGUGUUAAACCACUGAGAUUUGGGGUUGUCAUAGCAGGUAAUGUCACCAAGACCUCAGUAGCCAUUCUGCUUAAAAAAGAAACAUCUAAAACAUAAUAAUGCAGAAGUGUUGACAAGAAAGUGGUAUUUUUAAAAAACAGAGAAAUACUAAACACAAGAAAGCAUUACAAUAUUAUUAUUAUUUAUCAUUAUUGUUAGUAUUUUUUGGUACAGUCGUCCAGGCUGGAGUACAGUGGUGCAAUCUUGGCUCACUGAAGUCUCCACCUCCUGGGUUUAAGCGAUUCUCCUGCCUCAGCCUCCCAAGUAGCUAGGAUUACAGGCACCUGCCACCAUGCCCAGCUAAGUUUUGUAUUUUUAAUAGAGAUGGGGUUUCACCAUGUUGGCCAGCCUGGUCUCAAACUCCUGACCUCAGGUGAUCUGCCUGCCUCAGCCUCCCAAAGUGCUGGGAUUACAGGCAUGAGCCACUGCACCUGGCCAGCAUUACAGUAUUAAUGCCCAGCAAAACAGACUUCAGAAAAGGCAUUAUUAAGGCUAAAGAAAGUUAUUAUUUAGUGAUACAAGGAAUAAUUCUUCAGAAGAUGUAAUAAUUGAGAGCCAAUGUGUUCUUAACAACAUAGCCUCAAAAUAUGUAAAACAAAAAUUGAAAAUACAUUAUAAGGCAAAAUAAAUUUCAUGGGGUAAAAUCUGAGUAUACCUCUCAAGAAUUUAUAAAUUAAUUUGAAAAGAAAUAUAUAAGAAUAUGGCAGAUCUGAACAAUGCAGUAAUAUAGCUUGAUCUAAUGGAGAGAUCUGCAGUCAAUAAAAACACAGUUUUUUUUUUUUGAACUCACCAAAACUUACCAUACGUGAUGUCUCAUAAAAUACCAAAAGUCAACAUCACAUGUACUAUAUUCUCUGACUUCGGGGCCAUACCUCUAGUUAUCAAUCACAAAAAGUCUCCAAUCACAGUUUGGAGACUAAAAAACACACGUGUAAGUAACCAAACAAUAAAGCCCUGCACAUCCAAACUUGUGAAAGCAGCUAAAGAAGUUCCUAGAGGAAAAUAAAUAGCCUUAAGUUCAGAUUUUAGGAAAUAAGAUGAACUGAAUUAGCUAAGCAUUCAACUCAGCCCAGGAAGUUAUAAAAAGAAACAUGCUCUUAGGUGACUUGAUGCUAUUUAUGCUAAAUCUUUGCACCUUCUCUAAUGAUCCUGAAUACCACCAAAUGGAGAAAGAACGGUGAUAGAAAUGGAAGUCUCCAAUUUGAGAAUGAAGCCCACGUAUAUUCGUAGAUUGUGUGUUUCUGAUACUUACAUUUCUUCAUAUGGAAGGCUAAUUGCAGUAUGUGACAGAGAAUGAAGGACAACAAAUGCAGAACUUUUGGACAUAAAUGCACCUUCUUGCCUUUAGAACAGGUACAAAAUUAAGCCCAUUCUGCAUUUUGUAUUUUUUCAACGUAUCUGAAUCUGGAGGGAUUUGACUGUUGUUGUAGGAUUAGCUUUGCCUGAGAUUAGGUUCUUUUUAACAGGAAAUGAGCAGUGAGCCAAGAGCUGGCACACACAUACCAGUAGCAUUUCUAGAUGGUAAUGUUUCCUGACAGACACGGAUAUCCAGCAGCAGGUGGCACCCCUUUUCAGGAAUAACCACUUUUACAAGAUUGGCCACUGAAAUAUAUACCUCCAUAAAAAGUAAAGUAGCAGGUCAUGACAUGGGGUCCAUUGUUCUUUAGAAAAAUACUGACGGUUAUGCUGAUAUAUUUUGGGAAAAUGAUUACAUAAAGAGAAAUAUCUCUUGUGUUAAGAGUUCCUUAAUACUCUCCUGGCUUCUUUCUAGUCUAUUAAGAUCUGCUGGACUGAUAAGGUUGCUGUCUCUAGAAACAGAGAUAAAAAGAAAAAAGAAAACACAAACAAAACCUUUCAUGAGGUGCUUGCCUUCCCUCGUUAAGAAUAUCAAUUAGCCUAUGGGCUGGAGGACUGCCAUUUGAGGGUUCUUGUCUGAUAAAGUAGGCUGCUCCAUUUAAGCCAGCAGUACAUGGCACCCUGUGAACCACAGAGUACUUAUCAAAUUACUCAAAGUAGGAGGUGAGACUGAAGCAGCACUGAGCUUCACACUUUGCCUAAUCAAGCUAAUCCCAAGACAGGAAAUGCUACAAUAGGAAGCUGGGGUCAAGCCCAUGAAAUAACGCUCUUUAGCAACAGUUCGCUAACCCAGCUGGGCCUCUCUCAUCCUAGAACAGGUAAGCACUGUGGCCAGGCAGGGAGAAGCAUCUUAGAAGCCAGCCAGCUGAAGAGAGAUGAAGGAGGGAGGUGAGAGCUGGAAACUGACUGCACACAGUAGGAAGAUAAGCGCCGAGCACUCGCCCAGACACCUUCUUUAGGGAAUGUGCAAAACUGCAGAAACCACAGCUAAACAUUCUCAGGUUCUCAGAGGUGGGGGACACGACGCAGCCUCCUUACCCAGGGUCAGAUUCUAAAAUUCUGCAGGGAGCAAAAAAAUCACUUGUAGCUCAAUGAUCCUCAAACAUUUUCUUGAAUUGUUCCCUGAAUAGAGUGUACAUGGUUUUGCAUGUCAAUUUUUUUUUCUUUUUACAGUGAGGCUUAAACAUGAAAAUUUGAGGAACGCUGAGCAGGAAUAGAAGGAAAGCCUACAUUUUUAUCAUUUCAACCUCUUUGCUUUUCAGAGAAUAAUUAACUCCUUGGCUGUGAAUGAUGGAUGCAUGGAGAAUUCUACCUCUUGCCUGCAGGCUAUUUGCUAGCUUCUUUUAAUAUUUUUCCUAUAACCUUAAGAUCUAUGAAUAGAUUUGUUUGUUGUGGAGAAGAUUAAAUUAGAUGGCAUAAUCUCACAUUGGAGAGGGGCAUAUACUUAUUUAGGAAGUGAGUUUACAGUUCACAACCAGGAUGGCUCAAAGGGAUCUCAAACUGAACAUGUUCAAAACCUAAUCCCACAUCUUCCUCUACGCAGAUCCGCUACAUCCUACCUUCUCUGUGACGACUUUGAAAAGUGUCCAUGAAUUCUUUGACACUCUUUUCAAAAGGUGGAGCCUAAUUUCCCGUCCCUUAAGUGUGGACUGAUGAUUUGCUUCUAAAGAACAGAAUAAGGUGGAAUGGAUGGUGAGGAAAAUGAGGCAGAGAAUGAAACAUUUCCAUCUGGAUGACCAAACCGUCAGCUCCUAAAGGGCCGCAGAGGCUGAGGGCGCUGCUGGCAGCCGGCCCUCUGUGGACAUUUGCUGAAUAAACAGAAGAUAUGUGCACCAGUGUUCGCUCCUUUGGGUGAUACCAUCCCAUUUUUAUUUUCUGGAUUUCCUUCCUGAUGGGUCCAUUGUUCCUCAUUUUCCUCUAGCAUUAAAUUCCUUUAUCUUUUCAUUCCCACACAGUCGCUGCCUGUGGUUGAAAAUUGAGUCACCUCUCAGGCCCCAGUGACUUUCCUGGAGAAGUCCAGGAAGCAGGCCUGCUGCAAGAUCCGGGCAAAUUCCUGGAAUCCAUUCCCCGAGGUCAGCAUAUGAGCUCAAACCUGGGACUGACCGGGGCAGACAUAAGAAGGAACACUUCCCCCACACCCCACGAGGAUUUGCACUCGAGUGUUCCAAACCAUCCUGGGGCGAACGGGACACAGUGGGGAACAACUGGUCAUAUCUUUAUGCCAGCGUUUGCCAGAGCCUGCGCCCAGAGAACCAGCUCCACAGAUCUAUGCCAAAAGGCUCUAUGCCAAUUAAGUUUGUGAAGCAUCAUAUAUUAUAUUCUCUGGGGAUUGGCCGGGCUUGGGGGCUCAUGCCUGUAAUCCCAGCACUUUGAGAAGCUGAGGUCAGGAGUUUGAGACCAGCCUGGCCAACACGGCAAAACCCCGUCUCUACUAAAAGUACAAAAAUUAGCCAGACGUGGUGGUGGGCGCCUUUAAUCCCAGCUACUCAGGAGGCUGAGACAGGAGAAUCGCCUGAACCCGGGAGUGGAGGUUGCAGUGAGCCGAGAUGGUGCCACUGCACUCCAGCCUGGGAGACAAGAGCGAGACUCCAUCAAAAAAAAAAAAAAAAAAAAAAAAAAAGGAAGGAGAAAGGGAAAGGAGGGAGGAAGGGAGGAAAAAAGGAAAGGAAAAAAAGAAAAAAUGAAAAGAAGAAAAGAUUUCUUGGUCAAAAUGAGACAUACAAAACCAAACAUUUCUAGAGGACAUCUCAGAGUCUGUAACAGAUUCUUGGGCAUUAUAAAGACCUUCCUUGGCCGGGCACGGCGGCACACGCCUAUAAUCCCAGCACUUUAGGAGGCCGAGAUGGGCGGAU
Molecule: long non-coding RNA, 8548 nt
Filed under: Homo sapiens (human)
Lineage: Eukaryota; Metazoa; Chordata; Mammalia; Primates; Hominidae
Description: HSALNT0150558
Source: RNAcentral